Molecule: ribosomal RNA, 1393 nt
Filed under: Stefania roraimae
Lineage: Eukaryota; Metazoa; Chordata; Amphibia; Anura; Hemiphractidae
Description: partial 16S ribosomal RNA
Rfam family: Bacterial large subunit ribosomal RNA
Source: RNAcentral
GCCAAAAAUUUAGCCCAAAACUUUUACUUAAUACCACUACUCCCUAGACACCAAACUAAAACAUUUUUUUAACCCAGUAAAGGCGAUAGAAAAGUUUUUUGGAGCAAUAAACACAGUACCGUAAGGGAACAAUGAAAUAUUACUAAACAAUAAAAGCACAGAAAAGUAGAGAUAGACCCUCGUACCUUUUGCAUCAUGGUUUAACUAGUUCAACCAGACAAAAAGAUUUUAAGCCUGACUCCCCGAAACCAAGCGAGCUACUCCAGGGCAGCUAAACGAGCCGACCCGUCUCUGUCGCAAAAGAGUGGGAAGACCCUCCAGUAGAGGUGAAAUGCCAAACGAGCUUGGCGAUAGCUGGUUUCUCAAGAAAAGGAUCUUAGUUCAACCUGAAGUUUCAACAAAUAAUUGUAUAUCCAAACUCAACUUCAGAGCAAUUCAAAUAAGGUUCAGCCUAUUUGAAACAGGAUACAACCUCCUCUAAUGGGUACCUACUUCCCUUUUCCCACCCAAGUGGGCCUAAAAGCAGCCACCUUUCAAAUGGCGUCAAAGCCAAUGAAAUUAAGACUUAUAAUUUCCCAACCACCAACCAACCCUUAAUUACUACUGAGAAGCUCUAUAUAAAUAUAGAAGUUUUUAUGUUAAAACUAGUAAUAAGAAGAAGACCUUCUCUUAAGUGCGAGCGUAUCUCAGCGACGAACCACUCACUGACAAUUAACAUUUAUGAACCUAAAGCAGCAACCCAACAAUAAAAGCCUUCUCAAAUUCAAUGUUAACCUAACACAAGAGCACUGCAAGAAAGAUUUAAAGGGGGAGAAGGAACUCGGCAAAUAUUAACCCCGCCUGUUUACCAAAAACAUCGCCUCUUGUAAUGUAUAAGAGGUCCCGCCUGCCCAGUGACCUAGUUAAACGGCCGCGGUAUCCUGACCGUGCGAAGGUAGCGUAAUCACUUGUCUUUUAAAUAGAGACUAGUAUGAACGGCAUCACGAGGGUUACUCUGUCUCCUCCCCCCGAUCAAUGAAACUAAUUUCCCCGUGAAGAAGCGGGGAUACUUAUAUAAGACGAGAAGACCCUAUGGAGCUUUAAACAAAGUAAUAUCUGCUUUACCUACCCCCCCCCCCCCGGGAAACAGGAGAUAACCACCAUCUUAGCAUUAUAAUUACUAGUUUUCGGUUGGGGCGACCGUGGAGCAUAAAUUAACCUCCAUGAUGAACCGGCACCCGCCUAAACAAAAAGCUACGACUUUAUGUAUCAGAAGACUGACGUACAUUGACCCAAAACUUUGAUCAACGGACCAAGUUACCCUAGGGAUAACAGCGCAAUCCACUUCGAGAGUUCAUAUCGAAAAGUGGGCUUACGACCUCGAUGUUGGAUCAGGGUAUCCCAGUGGUGCAGC